UACAGAGGUCUCGAGCGUUGUUCGGAUUCAUUGGGCGUAAAGGGUGCGUAGGUGGCUAGGUAAGUCGGAUGUGAAAUCCCGGGGCUCAACCCCGGAACUGCAUUCGAUACUGCCUGGCUAGAGUACUGGAGAGGAGAUUGGAAUUUACGGUGUAGCAGUGAAAUGCGCAGAUAUCAGGAGGAACACCCGUAGCGAAGGCGGCACUCUGGGCCGAUACUGACACUGAGGAGCGAAAGCGUGGGGAGCGAACAGG
This 253-nucleotide ribosomal RNA is filed under the name uncultured bacterium. Its description in RNAcentral is "partial 16S ribosomal RNA". It matches the Rfam family "Bacterial small subunit ribosomal RNA", at positions 524 to 776 of the family's 1533-position model. The record is from RNAcentral.